GAUGAACGCUGGCGGCGUGCCUAAUACAUGCAAGUCGAGCGAACAGACGGGGAGCUUGCUCCUCUGACGUUAGCGGCGGACGGGUGAGUAACACGUGGAUAACCUACCUAUAAGACUGGGGUAACUUCGUGAAACCGGAGCUAAUACCGGAUAAUAUAUUGAACCGCAUGGUUCAAUAGUGCAUGACGGUUUUGCUGUCACUUAUAGAUGGAUCCGCGCCACAUUAGCUAGUUGGUAAGGGAACGGCUUACCAAGGCGACGAUGCGUAGCCGACCUGAGAGGGUGAUCGGCCACACAGGAACUGAGACACGGUCCAGACUCCUACGGGAGGCAGCAGUAGGGAAUCUUCCGCAAUGGGCGAAAGCGUGACGGAGCAACGCCGCGUGAGUGAGGAAGGGCUUCGGAUCGUAAAACGCUGUUAUUAGGGAAGAAAAAAUGUGUAAGUAACUAUGCACGUCUUGACGGUACCUAAUCAGAAAGCCACGGCUAACUACGUG
RNAcentral lists this ribosomal RNA (497 nucleotides) under uncultured bacterium. RNAcentral describes it as "partial 16S ribosomal RNA". It matches the Rfam family "Bacterial small subunit ribosomal RNA", at positions 28 to 507 of the family's 1533-position model. The record is from RNAcentral.